RNAcentral lists this ribosomal RNA (601 nucleotides) under Bacillus spizizenii. RNAcentral describes it as "bacterial SSU rRNA". It matches the Rfam family "Bacterial small subunit ribosomal RNA", at positions 55 to 637 of the family's 1533-position model. Lineage: Bacteria; Bacillati; Bacillota; Bacilli; Caryophanales; Bacillaceae. The record is from RNAcentral.
AUGCAAGUCGAGCGGACAGAUGGGAGCUUGCUCCCUGAUGUUAGCGGCGGACGGGUGAGUAACACGUGGGGAACCUGCCUGGAAGAAUGGGAAAACUCCGGGAAACCGGGGCUAAUACCGGAUGCUUGUUUGAACCGCAUGGUUCAAACAUAAAAGGUGGCUUCGGCUACCACUUACAGAUGGACCCGCGGCGCAUUAGCUAGUUGGUGAGGUAAUGGCUCACCAAGGCAACGAUGCGUAGCCGACCUGACGAGGGUGAUCGGCCACACUGGGACUGAGACACGGCCCACACUCCUACGGGAGGCAGCAGUAUGGGAAUCUUCCGCAAUGGACGAAGGUCUGACGGAGCAUGGCCGCGUGAGUGAUGAAGGUUUUCGGAUCGUAAAGCUCUGUUGUUAGGGAAGAACAAGUACCGUUCAAUAAGGGGGUACCUUGACGGUACCUAACCAGAAAGCCACGGCUAACUACGUGCCAGCAGCCGCGGUAAUACGUAGGUGGCAAGCGUUGUCCGGAAUUAUUGGGCGUAAAGGGCUCGCAGGCGGUUUCUUAAGUCUGAUGUGAAAGCCCCCGGCUCAACCGGGGAGGGUCAUUGGAAACUGGG